RNAcentral lists this ribosomal RNA (433 nucleotides) under uncultured bacterium. RNAcentral describes it as "partial 16S ribosomal RNA". It matches the Rfam family "Bacterial small subunit ribosomal RNA", at positions 29 to 507 of the family's 1533-position model. The record is from RNAcentral.
AACGAACGCUGGCGGCAUGCCUAACACAUGCAAGUCGAACGAAACCUUCGGGUCUUGUGGCGCACGGUGGCGUAAGGCGUGGGGAGCUGCCCUUAGGUACAGCAUAACUCCCCGAAAGGGGUGCUAAUACCGGAUAAGGUCUUCGGACCAAAGAUUUAUCGCCUUUGGUGGGUCCCGCGUGGGAUUAGCUAGUUGGUAUGGUAAAAGCCUACCAAGGCUACGAUCCAUAGCUGGGAUGAGAGGAUGAUCAGCCACUCUGAGAGUGGGACACGGCCCGGACUCUUACGGGAGGCAGGAGUGCGGAAUAUUGGACAAUGGGCGAAAGGAUGAGGCAGUAAGGCCGGGAAAGUGAUGUAGGCCUGAGGGAUGAAAAGCUCAUUUAACCGGGCACAUAAUGACAGUACCGGAAGAGAAAGCUCCGGCUAACUACGUG